GAUUAGAUGAGUAGUUUGAAUUAUUUCAUAUUAAGGUAUGGUGGGGAAAAAUGAACAUUUAUAAAGCACUAUUGCUGAAAAUUGCAUUUACAGCAGGUCUUUAGAAGAAAACUUGCUUUUCCAGUAUGAGGAUAAAAUGAGCUCAAAUUAAAUACUAUGGGUCUCUUAAUUUGCACUAUUUUAUUUAAACUGCAGUUUAUAUCUUAUCGAAAUUAUGUUGCCGGUUCUGAAGAUGUUUCAAAAAACAAAAAAUGCAAAAAUUCUUCUAGUAAAAAUGUUACCAACUAUCCUUGUAAGACAUAAAUCUGGACCAACAGCUUUUAAAACUUUAAAGUGUCAACAACAAAAAAUUGAAAAAUGUUGUUUUG
RNAcentral lists this long non-coding RNA (368 nucleotides) under Mytilus galloprovincialis (Mediterranean mussel). The record is from RNAcentral. Lineage: Eukaryota; Metazoa; Mollusca; Bivalvia; Mytilida; Mytilidae.